This 347-nucleotide ribosomal RNA is filed under the name Nematoda environmental sample. RNAcentral's name for it is "bacterial SSU rRNA". It matches the Rfam family "Eukaryotic small subunit ribosomal RNA", at positions 592 to 945 of the family's 1831-position model. Lineage: Eukaryota; Metazoa; Nematoda. The record is from RNAcentral.
CAAUAGCGUAUAUUAAAAUUGUUGUGGUUAAAAAGCUCGUAGUUGGAUUUGCGUCUGGCAGGCGUGGUCCCCUAAUGGGCGGUACUGCGCUCUGCUGGGCUAAUCAUUCGGUGUCCCCUUGAUGCUCUUCACUGAGUGUCUCGGGUGCCCGGAACGUUUACUUUGAAAAAAUUAGAGUGCUCAAAGCAGGCGCUUUGCCUGAACAUUCAUGCAUGGAAUAAUGAAAGAGGUCCCUUCAGCUCUUUAUUGGUUACCGCUGUCGGGAAAUGAUCGACGGGGACAGACGGGGGCAUUCGUAUUGCGACGUUAGAGGUGAAAUUCUUGGAUCGCCGCAAGACGAACUACUG